UACAGAGGGUGCGAGCGUUAAUCGGAAUUACUGGGCGUAAAGCGCACGUAGGCGGCUUGGUAUGUCGGGUGUGAAAGCCCCGGGCUCAACCUGGGAACUGCAGUUGAUACUGACCGACUAGAGUACGAGAGAGGGAGGUAGAAUUCCAUGUGUAGCGGUGAAAUGCGUAGAUAUAUGGAGGAAUACCGGUGGCGAAGGCGGCCUCCUGGCUCGAUACUGACGCUGAGGUGCGAAAGCGUGGGGAUCAAACAGG
Molecule: ribosomal RNA, 253 nt
Filed under: uncultured bacterium
Lineage: Bacteria
Description: partial 16S ribosomal RNA
Rfam family: Bacterial small subunit ribosomal RNA
Source: RNAcentral